AUUGGUGUGACCGAGUUUAGGUAAUAGACUGUAAAUCUAUGUACGGGUUACUAUCCCCACCAUUA
RNAcentral lists this transfer RNA (65 nucleotides) under Phascolopsis gouldii. RNAcentral describes it as "tRNA-Tyr". The record is from RNAcentral. Lineage: Eukaryota; Metazoa; Annelida; Sipuncula; Golfingiida; Sipunculidae.